This 606-nucleotide ribosomal RNA is filed under the name uncultured archaeon. RNAcentral describes it as "bacterial SSU rRNA". It matches the Rfam family "Archaeal small subunit ribosomal RNA", at positions 315 to 921 of the family's 1478-position model. The record is from RNAcentral.
UCCAGGCCCUACGGGGUGCAGCAGGCGCGAAACCUCCGCAAUGUGAGAAAUCGCGACGGGGGGAUCCCAAGUGCCAUUCUUAACGGGAUGGCUCUUCAUUAGUGUAAAGAGCUUUUGGAAUAAGAGCUGGGCAAGACCGGUGCCAGCCGCCGCGGUAACACCGGCAGCUCUAGUGGUAGCAGUUUUUAUUGGGCCUAAAGCGUCCGUAGCCGGUUUAAUAAGUCUCUGGUGAAAUCCUGCAGCUUAACUGUGGGAAUUGCUGGAGAUACUAUUAGACUUGAGAUCGGGAGGGGUUAGAGGUACUCCCAGGGUAGAGGUGAAAUUCUGUAAUCCUGGGAGGACCGCCUGUUGCGAAGGCGUCUGACUGGAACGAUUCUGACGGUGAGGGACGAAAGCUAGGGGCGCGAACCGGAUUAGAUACCCGGGUAGUCCUAGCUGUAAACGAUGCGGACUUGGUGUUGGGGUGGCUUUGAGCUGUCCCAGUGCCGAAGGGAAGCUGUUAAGUCCGCCGCCUGGGAAGUACGGUCGCAAGACUGAAACUUAAAGGAAUUGGCGGGGGGGCACCACAACGCGUGGAGCCUGCGGUUUAAUUGGAGUCAACGCCGG